GUCCAUGCCGUAAACGGUGGGCGCUAGGUGUAGGGGUCUUCCACGACUUCUGUGCCGCAGCUAACGCAUUAAGCGCCCCGCCUGGGGAGUACGGCCGCAAGGCUAAAACUCAAAGGAAUUGACGGGGGCCCGCACAAGCGGCGGAGCAUGUGGAUUAAUUCGAUGCAACGCGAAGAACCUUACCUGGGCUUGACAUACACCAGAUCGCUGCAGAGAUGUAGCUUCCCUUGUGGCUGGUGUACAGGUUGUGCAUGGUUGUCGU
RNAcentral lists this ribosomal RNA (262 nucleotides) under uncultured bacterium. RNAcentral describes it as "partial 16S ribosomal RNA". It matches the Rfam family "Bacterial small subunit ribosomal RNA", at positions 793 to 1055 of the family's 1533-position model. The record is from RNAcentral.